CAACCGUCUUCUAGCCCUCGUAAGCUGAUAUCAGAAAUCAUCACACAGAGAAAUUCACGUUAAAUAGAGAAAAUGGAAUUAAUAACUGAAAAAGAAGCCUUACCCUGUUUCAAAUAACAAUAGUAAUACCUGGGAAAAUCAAAGAGAAUCACAGCUGAUGAAAAAUUGAAACUAAACCAGCUAGUGUAUUGAUUACUAACCCUCAAAUGAUACCAUCUUCAAUGAAUGACGUCUCUUAAAUUUAGCAGUUAGUUUUAUCCUUCUUUCAAACUCUUCCCCAAGAUCAUUAAUCCUUCCCCACAUUAUUAAUUCUGCCAGCAUCACAUUGACGUUAAAAACACAAUAGCAGACGCAAAUUGUUCAGCCUCCCAUUCAGAGAAAAAAUUGAUUUUUCACAAAAAUCUUUCCCAAUUAUUGUUCAUCCUAAUCUGCUUACCCAUCUUUAGUUUUUUUAAAAAAGUACAUAUUCUGCUUGCACCAAAAUUUUUAAAAUAAAAAAAAAAUCUACUUGCUCAUCUAUAUCUACAUCAUCAAACUUUUCGUAUCAUUUAACGACUCCAUUUUUUCUUAAUUUGGAAUAUAAUGCUUCAUAAUGAAUAUGUGACCCAUACUUCUUAGCUAAGCUUUGCUUAUACUUUCACUAAAAUUCUCUUACCAUGAUUACUCAAAAGAAAAUUUUUAUAACAAAUAAAUUCAACAGAAGACUAAUAUCAUCACUGACCUGUUUCUCUAUAUGAAACAAAUAUGGAAAUUUCUUAGGCUUUGAACAAAUUCUAUAAAAUUAAUCAACUCAUAGCAACUCCUGCAUUCCAUAUGAUUUUUCUAUUAUAUCUACAUCCUAUAUAGACAUUUAUGAUCAUUACUUCUUUCAAGAUUUGACUUUAAAAUGUUGGCUGCUCAAUGAACAUUUCUGAUAGGCUCAUUAUGCUAAACGAAACUGAUAAAUCAGACCUGGAAAUCAAUUAACAGACAGUCCUUAAUGAUUAAAAUGCCUAGAACAAUAAACCUCCCCAUUGAACAAUAAAAAGAGAUAUGCAACUCUUAUAUUGAUCCACAUUCAAUUAGGAUGUCCCCGAAUUUAGUUAAGCACUCCGGCUUAUUCAAACAAAAUU
RNAcentral lists this unclassified non-coding RNA (1112 nucleotides) under Hevea brasiliensis (rubber tree). The record is from RNAcentral. Lineage: Eukaryota; Viridiplantae; Streptophyta; Magnoliopsida; Malpighiales; Euphorbiaceae.